GCGAACGCUGGCGGCGUGCUUAACACAUGCAAGUCGAACGGAAAGGCCCUGCUUUUGUGGGGUGCUCGAGUGGCGAACGGGUGAGUAACACGUGAGUAACCUGCCCUUGACUUUGGGAUAACUUCAGGAAACUGGGGCUAAUACCGGAUAGGAGCUCCUGCUGCAUGGUGGGGGUUGGAAAGUUUCGGCGGUUGGGGAUGGACUCGCGGCUUAUCAGCUUGUUGGUGGGGUAGUGGCUUACCAAGGCUUUGACGGGUAGCCGGCCUGAGAGGGUGACCGGCCACAUUGGGACUGAGAUACGGCCCAGACUCCUACGGGAGGCAGCAGUGGGGAAUAUUGCACAAUGGGCGGAAGCCUGAUGCAGCAACGCCGCGUGCGGGAUGACGGCCUUCGGGUUGUAAACCGCUUUCGCCUGUGACGAAGCGUGAGUGACGGUAAUGGGUAAAGAAGCACCGGCUAACUACGUG
RNAcentral lists this ribosomal RNA (467 nucleotides) under uncultured bacterium. RNAcentral's name for it is "partial 16S ribosomal RNA". It matches the Rfam family "Bacterial small subunit ribosomal RNA", at positions 30 to 507 of the family's 1533-position model. The record is from RNAcentral.